This 522-nucleotide ribosomal RNA is filed under the name Cryptosporella tomentella. RNAcentral's name for it is "eukaryotic LSU rRNA". The stretch from base 196 to 349 matches the Rfam family "5.8S ribosomal RNA". Lineage: Eukaryota; Fungi; Ascomycota; Sordariomycetes; Diaporthales; Gnomoniaceae. The record is from RNAcentral.
UCAUUGCUGGAACAAACGCCCUCACGGGUGCUACCCAGAAACCCCCUGUGAAUUAUACCUAAAAAAAACUGUUGCCUCGGCUUUUGGUUGGCUCCCUCGGGAGUCCCUUCGCAAGAAGGAGCAGACCGGCCGGUGGCCCCAUAAACUCUUGUUUUUGUAACAUCAUCUGAGUAAAAAAACAACUAAAUGAAUCAAAACUUUCAACAACGGAUCUCUUGGUUCUGGCAUCGAUGAAGAACGCAGCGAAAUGCGAUAAGUAAUGUGAAUUGCAGAAUUCAGUGAAUCAUCGAAUCUUUGAACGCACAUUGCGCCCGGUGGUAUUCCACCGGGCAUGCCUGUUCGAGCGUCAUUUCAACCCUCAAAGCCCCGGCUUUGGUGUUGGAGGAAUACCUGUAACAGGGUACCCUCUAAAAUUUAGUGGCGGGCUCGCUAGAAUUUUGAGCGUAGUAAUUUUACCUCGUUUUUAAAAGACUAGUGGGACUUUCUAGCCAUAAAACCCCCCAACUUUCUGAAAUUUGACCU